UACGUAGGGUGCGAGCGUUAAUCGGAAUUACUGGGCGUAAAGCGUGCGCAGGCGGUUUUGUAAGCCAGAUGUGAAAUCCCCGGGCUUAACCUGGGAAUGGCAUUUGGGACUGCAAGGCUGGAGUGCGGCAGAGGAGACUGGAAUUCCUGGUGUAGCAGUGAAAUGCGUAGAUAUCAGGAGGAACACCGAUGGCGAAGGCAGGUCUCUGGGCUGACACUGGCGCUCAUGCACGAAAGCGUGGGGAGCAAACAGG
RNAcentral lists this ribosomal RNA (253 nucleotides) under uncultured bacterium. RNAcentral describes it as "partial 16S ribosomal RNA". It matches the Rfam family "Bacterial small subunit ribosomal RNA", at positions 524 to 776 of the family's 1533-position model. The record is from RNAcentral.